GACGAACGCUGGCGGCGUGCUUAACACAUGCAAGUCGAACGGAAAGGCCCUGCUUGCAGGGUACUCGAGUGGCGAACGGGUGAGUAACACGUGGGUGAUCUGCCCUGCACUUCUGGAUAAGCCUGGGAAACUGGGUCUAAUACCGGAUAGGAGCCAUUCUUAGUGUGAUGGUUGGAAAGUUUUUUCGGUGUAGGAUGAGCUCGCGGCCUAUCAGCUUGUUGGUGGGGUAAUGGCCUACCAAGGCGGCGACGGGUAGCCGGCCUGAGAGGGUGGACGGCCACAUUGGGACUGAGAUACGGCCCAGACUCCUACGGGAGGCAGCAGUGGGGAAUAUUGCACAAUGGGCGCAAGCCUGAUGCAGCAACGCCGCGUGGGGGAUGACGGCCUUCGGGUUGUAAACUCCUUUCGCUAGGGACGAAGCUUGAGUGACGGUACCUAGAUAAGAAGCACCGGCUAACUACGUG
RNAcentral lists this ribosomal RNA (464 nucleotides) under uncultured bacterium. RNAcentral's name for it is "partial 16S ribosomal RNA". It matches the Rfam family "Bacterial small subunit ribosomal RNA", at positions 28 to 507 of the family's 1533-position model. The record is from RNAcentral.